RNAcentral lists this transfer RNA (72 nucleotides) under Neotoma lepida (desert woodrat). It matches the Rfam family "tRNA". From Rfam's summary of the family: Transfer RNA (tRNA) molecules are approximately 80 nucleotides in length. Their secondary structure includes four short double-helical elements and three loops (D, anti-codon, and T loops). Further hydrogen bonds mediate the characteristic L-shaped molecular structure. tRNAs have two regions of fundamental functional importance: the anti-codon, which is responsible for specific mRNA codon recognition, and the 3' end, to which the tRNAs corresponding amino acid is attached (by aminoacyl-tRNA synthetases). tRNAs cope with the degeneracy of the genetic code in two manners: having more than one tRNA (with a specific anti-codon) for a particular amino acid; and 'wobble' base-pairing, i.e. permitting non-standard base-pairing at the 3rd anti-codon position. Lineage: Eukaryota; Metazoa; Chordata; Mammalia; Rodentia; Cricetidae. The record is from Rfam by way of RNAcentral.
GAGGAUGUGGCUUAGUUGGCAGAGUGCCUGCCUGGCAUGCAAGAAGCCCUGGGUUCAAUCCCCAGCACCACA